Molecule: small RNA, 2179 nt
Filed under: Cryptococcus neoformans H99
Lineage: Eukaryota; Fungi; Basidiomycota; Tremellomycetes; Tremellales; Cryptococcaceae
Description: Cryptococcus neoformans var. grubii H99 hypothetical RNA
Source: RNAcentral
CGUCAGUAGUUAUCGCUGGCGACUCUCUAAGUGCCCAAUAUAGGAGGAAAAGAUAAACUUGGAAGGACCUACCUAACAAUAUUUCCUUGGAUGGUCAUCGCAAAGAUUUGGCAAAAUGCAACGACCAGUCUCACCAACUCCUAUGUACGUAGUUCUAACGGAUUGGGUCCUAAAAUGAAAAUGCAUAUAGCUCUUAGUAUCCAGCCUACGGCUCCCAGCUGCCAGGAGACGCCGGCCCACUAGCCCUAGUAUACUUUGUUCAUAAACUACCAGGCCUGCUAGCCAUGAUCGGGCUGUUCGGAUUCAGCUCAAUGAAGAAAUUAGGUGAUCCAUCAUCCCUUUCUUCUUCCUCUUCUGCUUCUUCCCUUUGGCGUCUCGACCCGUUAGUUGAGGUAGUUAAAGGUAAGGCAGGGGUGGGGUGCUGUUUGGAAGUGGCCCCAGAUCUAGAGACCCCCAAAGACAGGGAAAAUCCCGCUAUCUGGCCUUGCAGCUGUCAUAGGUAAUGCAGGGGUACUCGGCAUCGGCGGUGUCCCAUUCCCGCCCAAACCCACGGCACCAACGUUAGAUGGUGGGGCGAGGAAGAUUAGCCCAGAAAAGAAGGAACGCAUCGUCUUGAUAGAUUUGAUGCUGACCCCUCUCCGCAAAGUUGGGGAGGAUGUACUGUUAGGUGCAUGUGGGAGAGCGUCGACUGACGUGGAUGGAUUGAGGAUGAGAGAAGAGGUAUUGAACGCUGUCUGUUGAGGAGAGCUGAGCGCAGACAUGCCCUCCAGGAAAGACGAAUUCACUCGAUACGACGAUGGUACAGCAUCCCUCGUAGGCCAUAACCUCGCUACAGACCUCGAGGCUGGUACAGCUCGAGCUUGGAUGCCCGAUAAUCCUAGUGAAGAAGGUGUGGAAAUACUUGAUGCUGGAGAUUGUGGGACGGUCCUGGUACCGCUACCGGUACCGGUACUCUUUCCAGAUCCAGACGGGGGAGAAGUUACACCCGAGAAUGGGGGUGGGCUGACCGGGGGCUGGUGGUCACCCAACGCAAUCUCGUCAAACCCUUCAUCCCUUUCCCUAUCCCUAUCUCUUCUCGACUCUCCAGCAGACCAACUCUCCACAGACGCCCCACUUCCCCUACCCAUGUUGGUACCCUGACUUCCAUCUCCAAUCAGCCCUUCUACUCCCUCUCUACUCGAUAUCGGCGAGAUAUUCCAUGCCUGCUGCUGCCCCCGCGCUAACAACCACCCUGUCGCACUCGGGUUCGCUCCUGUCACUAACGGUAGGCGCGGUGUACUUGACCUGCUUGAGCUUGAGCUGGUUGACCCUAUUCUUCCGCCAGCCGAAGAUAGUGGGAAGGCCAUCCCCCUAUAGGCCAGGACCUCUGAUUGCCCCGAGCCGGAAAUUGAAGAGUUGGCGAUGUUGAUAGGAGGAGGUUCGAUAGGUCCUCGGUACGGGACAUAAUCCGGAUACUCUGGUGGUGGACUCCUACCCAUACCCGUCCCAAUCCCAAUCCCGCUUCCGCUGCCACUCCCACUACAAGUGGUGAGGCUCACCCUCUUAUCCCUAGCAAAAGACAUUGGGGUCGGCGCGGCCGAACUCGCAAUCAGACUAUCACCCUGUGUACUUGUCCUGUUCACCAUUUUCCGCCACAAAUCGACUUCGCUCUCACUGCCUUGCGACAUGUAGUAUUUGUUGUCGUACCCCUUGGAACAGGCGUAUCGGGGUUGGACAUUCCUUUGGCGGACAGGUAGGCGGUGCCGGACGUACAGGAUGUAAGCGAUAGCUAUCAAAAUAAGGAGGAAGGCAGACGUGCCCCCUAUUAUACCGAUAAUGAGGACAAGAUGUGACGUUCUGCGCAUUCAAUUAAUCAGUCGCAAACACCUGUUGUAAAUUAGAAGAGAAAGACUGGAGACGGGCGUACGAGGAAGAAGCUUUUACAGUUAAAAGGACAUAAUCAAUCACAAGCUGCCCACCCGGGGAAGUAUUUGUGAUCGUAAGCGUGUGGUUGGAUCCACUGAAUCCACUACCAAAGUAAAGUAAGGAUGAAUAGGAAUCCCAGGGCAUCUACGGUAAUCGGCAUUCUCUUGUCAGCAUAUUCUACCAACACAUGACUAGGUAAAAAGAAAAGUGUGGGAGAGAUGUAUGAAAACUCACAACCAUAUUCAAUUGCCCUUGCAAAAUCCCAUCCAACCAU